GGGGAACAGCUUGUGGAGUAAGUUUGAAAAUUUUAACUAAUGUAUGGAAGUGUAUUGACUUAAUUAUCAAAUCUAAGACACUUUUCUGAAAGUUUUCUCAUUGUUGAAACUUGAGAUAAAUACUUGACAUUAAGAAGAAAAAUUGUCUUCAUUUUCAAAGUGGAUGCCAUUACAAUUGUGACUGUUGCCGAAUUCCAAAAGGAGCACCAACGUGAUGAAAUGGAAAUGAUAAAUUAGGUGAAAGAAUAUGUUACAACCUUUUCUUUUUUUCCUCCUUUUUGGCAGUGGGUUAUGGAAGGCCCUGCAGACUAUACAGCCAAAUGUGUCCUUGCCACUGACUUUGCUACAUUAAUUCUUCCAAAGAAUUAUGGUCAUAGGCAUGUUUUUCUGCUCACUCUUGUACAUUAGUUUACAGUCAACCCGCCUAGUUAAUUUAAGCAAUUUGUUAUCUGUUAUAUACCCAAAUAAGUUGAGUCAUAUACUGUUCUAAGGUGUGCCCAAACACACAAUUACAUUGCGUACCUGAAUAAUAA
This 533-nucleotide unclassified non-coding RNA is filed under the name Hevea brasiliensis (rubber tree). Lineage: Eukaryota; Viridiplantae; Streptophyta; Magnoliopsida; Malpighiales; Euphorbiaceae. The record is from RNAcentral.